Molecule: ribosomal RNA, 484 nt
Filed under: uncultured bacterium
Lineage: Bacteria
Description: partial 16S ribosomal RNA
Rfam family: Bacterial small subunit ribosomal RNA
Source: RNAcentral
AUUGAACGCUGGCGGCAGGCCUAACACAUGCAAGUCGAGCGGAUGAAGGGAGCUUGCUCCUGGAUUCAGCGGCGGACGGGUGAGUAAUGCCUAGGAAUCUGCCUGGUAGUGGGGGAUAACGUCCGGAAACGGGCGCUAAUACCGCAUACGUCCUGAGGGAGAAAGUGGGGGAUCUUCGGACCUCACGCUAUCAGAUGAUCCUAGGUCGGAUUAGCUAGUUGGUGGGGUAAAGGCCUACCAAGGCGACGAUCCGUAACUGGUCUGAGAGGAUGAUCAGUGACACUGGAACUGAGACACGGACCAGACUACUAAGGGAGGCAGCAGUGGGGAAUAUUGGACAAUGGGCGAAAGCCUGAUCCAGCCAUGCCGCGUGUGUGAAGAAGGUCUUAGGAUUGUAAAGCACUUUAAGUUGGGAGGAAGGGAAGUAAGUUAAUACCUUGCUGUUUUGACGUUACCAACAGAAUAAGCACCGGCUAACUUCGUG